CCUACGGGUGGCAGCAGUGAGGAAUAUUGGUCAAUGGACGCAAGUCUGAACCAGCCAAGCAGCGUGCAGGAAGACGGCUCUAUGAGUUGUAAACUGCUUUUGUACGAGGGUAAACGCAGAUACGCGUAUCUGUCUGAAAGUAUCGUAUGAAUAAGGAUCGGCUAACUCCGUGCCAGCAGCCGCGGUAAUACGGAGGAUUCAAGCGUUAUCCGGAUUUAUUGGGUUUAAAGGGUGCGUAGUUGGUCUGUUAAGUUAGUGGUGAAAUCCCGCGGCUCAACUUCGGAAUUGCCUCUGAUACUGGUCGGCUAGAGAGUAGUUGCGGUAGGCGGAAUGUAUGGUGUAGCGGUGAAAUGCUUAGAGAUCAUACAGAACACCGAUUGCGAAGGCAGCUUACCAAGCUACUACUGACGUUGAGGCACGAAAGCGUGGGUAGCAAACAGGAUUAGAUACCCGUGUAGUC
Molecule: ribosomal RNA, 460 nt
Filed under: uncultured bacterium
Lineage: Bacteria
Description: partial 16S ribosomal RNA
Rfam family: Bacterial small subunit ribosomal RNA
Source: RNAcentral